GCGGACAUAGCUCAGUUGGUAGAGCCCCAGCCUUCCAAGCUGGUCGCAGGGGUUCGAUUCCCCUUGUCCGCCCCA
This 75-nucleotide transfer RNA is filed under the name Candidatus Poribacteria bacterium. RNAcentral's name for it is "tRNA-Gly". It matches the Rfam family "tRNA". From Rfam's summary of the family: Transfer RNA (tRNA) molecules are approximately 80 nucleotides in length. The record is from RNAcentral. Lineage: Bacteria; Candidatus Poribacteria.